RNAcentral lists this ribosomal RNA (400 nucleotides) under uncultured bacterium. RNAcentral describes it as "bacterial SSU rRNA". It matches the Rfam family "Bacterial small subunit ribosomal RNA", at positions 60 to 508 of the family's 1533-position model. The record is from RNAcentral.
AGUCGAGCGCCCCGCAAGGGGAGCGGCAGACGGGUGAGUAACGCGUGGGAACCUACCUGAAGGUACGGAACAACUCCGGGAAACUGGAGCUAAUACCGUAUGUGCCCGAAAGGGGAAAGAUUCAUCGCCUUCAGAUGGGCCCGCGUCAGAUUAGCUAGUUGGUGGGGUAAUGGCCCACCAAGGCGACGAUCUGUAGCUGGUCUGAGAGGAUGAUCAGCCACACUGGGACUGAGACACGGCCCAGACUCCUACGGGAGGCAGCAGUGGGGAAUAUUGGACAAUGGGCGCAAGCCUGAUCCAGCCAUGCCGCGUGAGUGAUGACGGCCUUAGGGUUGUAAAGCUCUUUCGACGGGGACGAUAAUGACGGUACCCGUAGAAUAAGCCCCGGCUAACUUCGUGC